This 490-nucleotide ribosomal RNA is filed under the name uncultured bacterium. RNAcentral describes it as "partial 16S ribosomal RNA". It matches the Rfam family "Bacterial small subunit ribosomal RNA", at positions 29 to 505 of the family's 1533-position model. The record is from RNAcentral.
AGUGAACGCUGGCGGUAGGCCUAACACAUGCAAGUCGAACGGCAGCACAGUAAGAGCUUGCUCUUACGGGUGGCGAGUGGCGGACGGGUGAGGAAUACAUCGGAAUCUACUUUUUCGUGGGGGAUAACGUAGGGAAACUUACGCUAAUACCGCAUACGACCUACGGGUGAAAGCAGGGGAUCUUCGGACCUUGCGCGAUUGAAUGAGCCGAUGUCGGAUUAGCUAGUUGGCGGGGUAAAGGCCCACCAAGGCGACGAUCCGUAGCUGGUCUGAGAGGAUGAUCAGCCACACUGGAACUGAGACACGGUCCAGACUCCUACGGGAGGCAGCAGUGGGGAAUAUUGGACAAUGGGCGAAAGCCUGAUCCAGCCAUACCGCGUGGGUGAAGAAGGCCUUCGGGUUGUAAAGCCCUUUUGUUGGGAAAGAAAAGCAGCAGGUUAAUACCCCGCUGUUCUGACGGUACCCAAAGAAUAAGCACCGGCUAACUUCG